UACGUAGGGGGCAAGCGUUGUCCGGAUUUAUUGGGUUUAAAGGGUGCGUAGGCGGGCUAUUAAGUCAGUGGUGAAAGCCCCAAGCUUAACUUGGGAACUGCCAUUGAUACUGAUGGUCUUGAGUACAUUUGAGGUGGGCGGAAUGUGUCAUGUAGCGGUGAAAUGCUUAGAUAUGACACAGAACACCGAUUGCGAAGGCAGCUCACUAAACUGUAACUGACGCUGAUGCACGAAAGCGUGGGGAGCAAACAGG
RNAcentral lists this ribosomal RNA (253 nucleotides) under uncultured bacterium. RNAcentral describes it as "partial 16S ribosomal RNA". It matches the Rfam family "Bacterial small subunit ribosomal RNA", at positions 524 to 776 of the family's 1533-position model. The record is from RNAcentral.